UAGAGUGCUAGGAUGGAUGAGAACUUUUAGUUUCCUUGUCAAACCUUCCAAGUGAGGUGAACAUAUUACACCUCCAAUAACUCACGACAUGUUCUAAAAAAAACCAAUAAUUCACGACAUAAAGAUAGAGAGGUAGGUUCUACAAUGAAUAAGAAAUAACAUUACAAAAUGGUCAUCAAGUCAAAUAUAUAUACAGCCCUUGUUGCCUUGGUCCUGAUAGUUCAUACAUUGAAAAGCAUGUGAAGGAACAGAAAUGUUCAAAUCUAGAUAGGAGAUGAGCAUUUCUUGUUUCAUAGUACAUUUCUUGCUUCAAUUUGGUUGGCAUACGAGGCAUCAGGAGUUCUCACCCCACAGAGUAACAGUGGAUUCCUGCCAAAUCCAAGCGCGCCUGCGAAAUUUCUGAGCACAUUGUGCCAUUGCCAUUGUAGACAAUUCACAGGCGAAAUACGAAGGUUGGUCUCAUUCGAAAGGUUAUACGAUGCAGCAUUAUGGCAUAUGCAAUGUAAGUGCUUAGGUUAUACGCCAUGUCGAUCUGGGACGCGAUAGCAUUGCCACGCGUUGGAAGGAAUAUUGAAGGACGAGGAAGAGCGGAUGACAAUUUGGUCUCAGAUAGUAUUAUAGCGUGCUGUUCACAGGUUGAGAAUGGUAUUUUAUCGAAUUCAUUUUGCCGAGUGGCAUUGAGGUAAAACGAAUGGUAUUUUAUCGAAUCCCUUUUGCCAAGUGGCGUUGAGGUGAAACGCACUUUUAACAAA
Non-coding RNA from Oryza sativa Japonica Group (Japanese rice), 752 nucleotides. The record is from RefSeq and is a predicted model, not a curated record. NCBI's taxonomy places the organism in Eukaryota, Viridiplantae, Streptophyta, Magnoliopsida, Poales, Poaceae.